RNAcentral lists this unclassified non-coding RNA (1456 nucleotides) under Hevea brasiliensis (rubber tree). Lineage: Eukaryota; Viridiplantae; Streptophyta; Magnoliopsida; Malpighiales; Euphorbiaceae. The record is from RNAcentral.
GUCAGUAUUCUUUGUCCUAGCAUAUUAUGCGACUACUUCUUGUGCAAAUCAAUUACAUACUAGUUUGUUGUUUUUAGAUGUGUACAGUGGACUUUGGGUUUUUCUUCAAAAUGUCUUGUUUGGAAUUGGGAUGGAGAAAUUAUUUAAAGAGAGAACUAUCCUUGUUGACUGUUGUAGCUCAUUUAAUAUGUACCAACAGAACAAAAAUCUCAUCUAAAAACUACCUUUAUUUUAUAGCUCUCAGUUUAAGGAACAAGCCCAAUAUUUUAAAAUUUACACACUGAAACUAUGAUUAAUCAGGUGAAGAGUGGAUCUGUAUAGCCUUGAUGAAUUGAACAGAAUUCGGUGUGAAUGUAAAAGCAUAUAACAAAUUCCUUGAGAUAUUAGCUUGGCCUCGAGGUGUCAACUUUAUUUUCUUAGGAAUUCCAUUAUUCUCUUAAUAAUCAGCAGUCAUUGAUAGGGGUGUACGUGGGUUGGGUCAGUCUGGUUUAAGGAUAUAUGCAAAACCAAGCCGACCACUUCAGUUUUAUAUUUCUUGAAAUCAAAGCCGAGAAUUGGGAAUUGAAGACCGUGGCUUUCGGGUUUGAUCGGUGUAACACGGUUUCAGUUAGAAAAUGGAAUCCAAAAAUGGAAUUCUAUUCAAAGAGAAGGCAUUGAACACCAUUUAAAGGGAAAAUAUAAACACUCAAGUGAAAAACUAUAUUGAGAACAAAAGUCCAAAAUAAGCACAUAAGAUUACAAAUCAAGCAUGCAAAAAAAUCUGCAAUUUUCUCUUAAAGAGCUAAAUCUAUAUCAGCUAUAACAGAGGAGAAUUGAGGGUUUGGCAAGGAGAAAGUACCAAAUACCAAAGUUAGAACAAUCAAAUCAUCAAUUUCUCAUGGAUGGCAUUUGUGAAGAAUCUCAGCAAGAAGUAAUAAAAUCCACAUGCAUGCCUAUCUGUAGAUUCUGAGAGUCCUAACCAUACCGAUCUUCAGAUGCCAAAAAUCCCAACUUUGAUAGAGAAAAAAAUACCAUAUAGCCAAAUGCAAAAUAGAGAAUCUGUAUUUGCCAAAUAAGCUACAGUUGAGAAGGAUGAAAUUAUGAAGGUUGGGUUCAAUGAGAAGGACGAAAGGCUGCAAUUGAGAGAAUAUAAAAAAGAAUCGAGAGGAUGUAGGUGGCUUCUUGUGUUGUCCUUUUUAGUAAGCAGAUAUAUAUAUAUAUUGUGCUACUUGGUUCGGGUUGGGUUGGUUUAAUUUUAUUAGUGAACCUGAAAACCGAACUGAAUAUUCGGUUUACUUAUAUUUGCAACCCAAAACCAAUUUGCAAAUGUUUAAAACCAUUAUUUUCGGUUUGAUUUUAUUCGGUUUAUUCGAGUUUAUCAGUUUUUCGGUUUUCAUGUACACCCCUAGUCAUUGAUGCCUCAUGGCUCAUGCCUUACUCAACUACACCUAGUCCCUGUAAAAUAAUUCAUUUCAAU